This 64-nucleotide transfer RNA is filed under the name Amynthas sp. 3 LZ-2016. RNAcentral's name for it is "tRNA-Glu". It matches the Rfam family "tRNA". Rfam says of the family: Transfer RNA (tRNA) molecules are approximately 80 nucleotides in length. Their secondary structure includes four short double-helical elements and three loops (D, anti-codon, and T loops). The record is from RNAcentral. Lineage: Eukaryota; Metazoa; Annelida; Clitellata; Crassiclitellata; Megascolecidae.
GUGUGUAUGGUGUAAGUAACACGCUAGCUUUUCAUGCUAAAGAUAUAUAAAUAUAUUACACACC